AGGACGAACGCUGGCGGCGUGCUUAACACAUGCAAGUCGAGCGAGGCCCUUCCUUCGGGAAGGAGCCCUAGCGGCGAACGGGUGAGUAACACGUGGGCAACCUGCCCCUAGCACUGGGAUAACUCCGGGAAACCGGGGCUAAUACCGGAUAUGACCUUGGAGGGCAUCCUCCUUGGUGUAAAAGGAUUCUGGCUAGGGAUGGGCCCGCGGCCUAUCAGCUUGUUGGUGGGGUAAUGGCCUACCAAGGCGACGACGGGU
RNAcentral lists this ribosomal RNA (258 nucleotides) under uncultured bacterium. RNAcentral's name for it is "partial small subunit ribosomal RNA". It matches the Rfam family "Bacterial small subunit ribosomal RNA", at positions 26 to 284 of the family's 1533-position model. The record is from RNAcentral.